Molecule: non-coding RNA, 2029 nt
Organism: Jatropha curcas
Lineage: Eukaryota; Viridiplantae; Streptophyta; Magnoliopsida; Malpighiales; Euphorbiaceae
Source: RefSeq, a predicted model, not a curated record
CCUGGAUUUCGGUUCGACCCUACCGACGGAAAAACAAGUUUUAGAACGGACUAAUUUGUUAAAAAUAAUGAAAAUAUAUCUGAUACAUAAAAUGCAGUCUGGGCACGUGGAAUAGCUCUCGGAUCGAUCCCACUAAACGCAACUGCAGAAGAACAAACAAACACUGACUACUAACAGUUCGAAGAUUCUGGGAAACCCUUUGAAGCCACGGUUAUGGCAGAUUCUAAUGGCGGGACUGAGACUAAGGUAGUAACAACCAAAAAAAGGUUCAAAUACCGAAACAUAAAUUUAAGCCACCAAAAAAGGUUCAAAUACCGAAACAUAAAUUCAAGCCACCAUUGCGGUUGGAUCUUAUUUAAGUAUAGUUUGCCUGAUUUGAACCCUGAAUUAGUGCUCUGUCGUUUGAGGAAAAUUUUUUCUAAAAUAGAGAAAAAAGAAAUAAGGGCAAGAGGAAAAUAGAUGAUUGUGAGCAUGAUGAAGUUAUGAACUCUGAGAUGGCUUUGCCUGGUAAUAAGCGCAUCAGGCUAAUUAAUGACAAUCAAGUAGGGGCUGAUUUUGAUGAUCCAAUGGCUGCUGAAUUUUGUGUUGAAGAGCUGUUGGAUAAUGUGAAUACGUUUGAGUUUGAUGGGAUCAAUUAUGGUGAUAAGAAUGAGGAUUUUUUUGCUGAUAUAGCAGAUUUUCCGGGGUCUGAUUUUGGUUCUGCUUGGUGCUUCUCGGAUGGGGGAAAAUGUGGUGCUUACAUUCGCUCUUCCUCUUCUCUACAAUUUUGGCCACUGAUAUGACACUGAGUUGUUGUUUUUGUAGAUAUGACAUGAUGCUCCCAGAAUUGCCAUGAUUGCGCCAAAUGUGUUCUUCAUUUUGAUCAUCACUGUGUUCGGCUUGGAACAUGCAUUGGUCAGGAAUCAUUGUCGAUUUUGGUAACCAACAAAUACAUAUCAGGAGGAUUUCAAUGGACUCCAAGGAGGUGCUGGUAAAAGGCUGCAGGCAUUAGAUGAUAAUCCUGUAGCAGCCUAUCUGAAUUGUGAUGCUAGCUUUAGAAGCACCAGUGGAGUUGCUGUUGAGGUUAUUCCCGGAAAUGAUGUGAGUUUCAGUGAAUAGAGGUGGGAAGGUUCUUCUGAUUGUAAAUGUUGCUUCCAAAUGUUAAAGUAAAUCAUAUUUUGUUUAAAAGAUGCUCAGCUCAUUAACAAAUUCCAUACACUCAGUCAAUUGAAAGUUGGUUAUCCAAAGACAUAGUUGCUCUCAGUGAAUAGCUCUAGUUAGAAAAGAAAAAAAAGGAUGAAGAAGUUCUUUGCAUUUGUAAGUAGCUUAGACAGAAAGUCAAGUGAAAAAUCGAUUUGAAAAAUAAAUUUCACCGUUUAUCAUUUAUUCACAUAAGAUGAAGAAGAUUAAGCUAAAGCAAAAACUUAUCAGGUCUUCAUCACUUGUAAAAAUCUAUUUAGAAUAAGUAUUCUGAAAUUUAAGCAAAUCAAACUGAGCAGAUAUUAAUUAUCAGACAUGUUCAAGUGUUUGCAGGCGCUCAUGGUAAGCUCUUGUGGUGAUAAUAUAUUCUCUUUGAGGUAUCAAGAUUAUGAAUAUAAGCUGUAAGGCCAGCUUUCUUGAGUUCUUGAGCCUGUUUCUUCUCUAGCAUGCAAAAACUGCAGCAAACCUCCAUGCCCAUAUCCAUGGAGAUGAUGACUGUUGGGUCUAUAGGUUCUGAUUUUGAAUGUCCAUUGAGCCCUGAAUUUAGGGUCAUUAAUCAGGUAGAAGAGGUAGAACAAGUAAUGUUAGAGUGUAAUGACAUCAGAUUUACAUGGAGAUGAUGAAGAUCAAUUAUGUUCAUGAGAAUGAAGAUUUCUUUUGACGUUUCAUUUGGGUUCUGAAUCUUUUACUUUGAUGGUUCUUAACAAAUGGGCGAAAAUGAAGGGCUGGUUUACAAAUGUUGGUGCCUGCUGUAUAUUCUUUCAUCCACUUCUCCAUAAUUUUGGCUACAAACACUUAAAUUGAGCCGCUGUCUUUUUGCAGAUAUGAUAAGGAAACUUGUUGAUUGUUC